Molecule: ribosomal RNA, 570 nt
Filed under: uncultured bacterium
Lineage: Bacteria
Description: bacterial SSU rRNA
Rfam family: Bacterial small subunit ribosomal RNA
Source: RNAcentral
GAGUUUGAUCAUGGCUCAGGAUGAACGCUGGCGGUAUGCUUUACACAUGCAAGUCGUACGGGAGUUUUUAACUCAAGUGGCGGACGGGUGAGUAACACGUAAGAAUUUACCUUUAGGAGGGGGAUAACAACUGGAAACGGUUGCUAAUACCCCAUAUGCUUUCGAGUGAAAUGGAUUUUUCCGCCUAGAGAGAAGCUUGCGGCUGAUUAGCUUGUUGGUGAGGUAAUGGCUCACCAAGGCGACGAUCAGUAUCUGGUUUGAGAGGAUGAUCAGACACACUGGAACUGAGACACGGUCCAGACUCCUACGGGAGGCAGCAGUGGGGAAUUUUCCGCAAUGGGCGAAAGCCUGACGGAGCAAUACCGCGUGAGGGAUGACGGCCUAUGGGUUGUAAACCUCUUUUUUCAGGGAGGAAUCAAUGACGUGUACCUGAAGAAUAAGCAUCGGCUAACUCCGUGCCAGCAGCCGCGGUAAGACGGAGGAUGCAAGUGUUAUCCGGAAUCACUGGGCGUAAAGCGUCUGUAGGUGGUUUAAUAAGUCAACUGUUAAAUCUUGAGGCUCAACCUCAAA